Molecule: long non-coding RNA, 274 nt
Filed under: Ananas comosus (pineapple)
Lineage: Eukaryota; Viridiplantae; Streptophyta; Magnoliopsida; Poales; Bromeliaceae
Description: long non-coding RNA (ACOM_LNC043973)
Source: RNAcentral
UUUGUUAGAUAGUUCUGCACCAAGCCUAGAUCUACACGCGCCCAAAAGUAUAACAUAUCUAAUGAAACUCAUUCAAUCUAAAAACUUAACCAUCUUCUUCACGACUUUUAAACUAACUGUCUCAAUAAUUACGACAAUCAAAUCAUUGCAAUCAACUAUAUUUUCUAUUAGGCAGUUCGAUCUAGACCAAGUCGAAAUCCACACACGCUAAAAAAUGUAAUAUGUCUAACAAAACUCAUUCAAUCUAAAAGAUUAAAUAUGUUAAGUCUGGAUC